CAGGCCUAAUACAUGCAAGUCGAACGAGAUAUCGGACUUCGGUCUGAUUGAAGUGGCGCACGGGUGCGUAACACGUAUGCAACCUACCUUUUACAGGGGAAUAGCCCGAAGAAAUUCGGAUUAAUACCCCAUAACAUCAUGAAUUCGCAUGUUUUUAUGAUUAAAGCUCCGGCGGUAAAAGAUGGGCAUGCGGGACAUUAGUUUGUUGGUGAGGUAACGGCUCACCAAGACUACGAUGUCUAGGGGUUCUGAGAGGAUGAUCCCCCACACUGGUACUGAGACACGGACCAGACUCCUACGGGAGGCAGCAGUAGGGAAUAUUGGGCAAUGGACGAAAGUCUGACCCAGCCAUGCCGCGUGCAGGAUGACUGCCCUAUGGGUUGUAAACUGCUUUUAUACGAGAAGAAACCCUUGUACGUGUACGAGGCUGACGGUAUCGUAUGAAUAAGGAUCGGCUAACUCCGUGCCAGCAGCCGCGGUAA
This 482-nucleotide ribosomal RNA is filed under the name uncultured bacterium. RNAcentral's name for it is "bacterial SSU rRNA". It matches the Rfam family "Bacterial small subunit ribosomal RNA", at positions 43 to 523 of the family's 1533-position model. The record is from RNAcentral.